CAUGAUCAGUGCUGGCCCAGCCAGCAGGCUCCUCCACCGUCUCCCUCCUCCCGGCUCCUGGAGAUCUGCCUGCCUGCUGCACACAUGUGUUCCACCCUGUUUUUGCAUUCUGUGAGUAUUCCAAGAGCAGCUCUCUGCCCUGCACAGGGGGUCUAAGGUGGCCCACACAGCUUGUGACUGGGUAGGAAGGCUGUCUAGCUGCAGGUUCACAAUUUUAGGAUGCAUUCAACCUGCAGAUAGCAUGAGUCAUCAAUAACAGCUCUUUUACUGAUAAAGAUAAAGGUCAUCUUUUUAGAGUGCCUGGGUGGCUCAGGAUGCAACUCUUGAUAUCCACUUAGGUCAUGAUCUUACAGGUCAUGGAAUUGAGCCAUGUCGGAUUCUGCACUGACAGAAUGAGCCUGCUUGGGAUUCUCUCUCUCUCCCUCUCUCUGCCCCUCCCCUGCUUGUGUGUGCUCUGUCUCUCAAAAUAAAAUAAACAUAAAAAAAUAUUUUAAAAAAGGUCAUAUUGGGGUGCCUGGGUGGCUCAGUCAGUUAAGCGUCCGACUUCGGCUCAGGUCAUGAUCUCACGGUUUGUGAGUUCAAGCCCUGUGUCGGGCUCUGAGCUGACAGCUUAGAGCCUGGAGCCUGCUUUGGAUUUUGUCUCCCUCUCUCUCUGCCCCUCCCUCACUUGUGCUUUGUCUCUUGUUCGCUCUCAAAAAUAAACAUUAAAAAUUUUUUUUAUUAAAAAAAAUUUUUAAAGGCCAUCUUUUGAUUGAUGUUUGUGUGACUUCUGUGUUUACUUUUCAGUUGAUACUUAACUUGGGCCGGGAAUGUGUCAUUUUAACUCUUUAUCUCUGUUAGAAUGACUGUAAAUUUUAGGGGAUAGAGCUGACAGGCCUUGGUGACUAAUUAGGUGUGGAAUAUGAAGGAAAAUGACAGAUCAAAGAUGGUUCCUAGGUUCCUGGCUUGCAUGACUAGGUAAACAGUGGUGCCAUUUAAUAAUCUAGAAGCCCUAAUUCUGAGAAUAGUGGUAGGCAUGUGGUGAGAAUGACUAGUGUGGGUGGAAAGAGCUGUACCUGUGGUGAGCGUUUGGGGAGGGUGAGUGAGCACCAUGCAUAAAAUGAGAAUGACUUGGUGGGGGGUUGGAUGGCUUGGAGGCUGGGAGAGUGAGGAGGAGGCCACGGAUAGAGUUCUGUAAGAGAUAAAGUCUUUAAGUAGGGUAUAGAAAGGGGGAUUAAUGCUGGAGACAUUUAGAAAGUAGACUCAAUAGAACUUAGUGACUAGCUGGAUAUGGAUAGAGAGAUGAGGGAAGGGGGUCCCGAGACACUCCAAGGUUUUAAGUAUGUGAACUUGGCCAUCUAAGUUAAACAUUUGGUAAUGACAAAUGUUGAUUUGAUAGAGUCUGUCAUUUUAAAUAUGAUAACUCUUUUAGCUACAAUAAAGGCAAGCAGGAUAUAGGGAAAGAAAAAUGAAAGAUGAACUUCUCAAAAGGAUAAAUCUCCUAUUCAAAGAAAAAAGAAGAAGAAACAAUCCAAACCCCUUAAAUCAGCAGCUCAGAGCAAUCUUUUAGGUUGAGGUGACCUUCCUUGUAAAUGUGAUACACUCUAUCAGGGGUUGGCAAAAUUUUCUAUAAGGAGCCAUAGAGUAAAUAUUUUAGUCUUUGCAGACCAUAUGGUCACUGCUGUAACUACCCAACUUUGCUGUUGUAGAGCAAAAGCAAUCAUAGACAACAGGUAAAUUAAUGGGCAUGGAUGUGUCCAAUAAAACUUUACUUAUAAAAUGGGCAGUGGGCUGGAUGUGGCUCACAGGCCACAAGCCACAGUUUGCUGACUUCUGCAGCUUACAUAAUACCUUACACAUGUGGCAUGGUUGCUUUACCUUCGACUCUUCGAAGAGGGCAAUGGCUAGUCCCAAGACUAGUUAAUAAAAGAGGGUCAUGCAAUGUUAUACAAAGUUGGGAGAAAAAUGGUUUUCUUUUGACUGAUAAGAUCCUACGUUAUAGUAGCAAGGGGAAUAUGACUCCCAUAUAUGGAUGUGUUGAGAAGUACUGGAAGAAGAUUAAUAAUCUGAUGCAAGAUGUCUGAAUUUUUAAAUGAAAUGGCCAAAGCAGAGAAGCGGUGAGGGUGAGGGGUUAGAAAUAGAAAAGAAAUCUUGGCAGCCCAUGUCCUUCUGACCACAUGUCUACCUUCAGGCCGUAGACCUUCCCUCUUUUCCCAUCCAGCAGCAGGAACAAGUCGAACAAAGAAAGGUGGUGACUCCUGCUUAUGGCAGGGACUGAAAGGACUUCCAGGUCACAGGAAGAGGGCAAAAGCUUGAUGGUGUUGGCGAAGGGCCACUGCUGAAGAGGGAAGGUGGGGACCACACAGAGGGAGAAACAAAGUGAGAGCAUCAUAGGGGUGGGGGAGAAGAGGGUGGUAUGAUGACAGAUAAGGCAUCUAUGGGGAUGCUUUCCAUCCCCAUGGGGACAUCCAUGGGGGAACAACCUCAAAGGAUGGUCAGUGAGGCCUAUGCUCAUGGACCAUGCUCAGGGAUGAAUCAGUUUGAUAAGGAGGGCAGUGGUGUACUUCUUUCCUCUACCACAGUCAUACAGUUUGGAAUCUGUCUAUGGAAAUACUCGAGUUCAGAAUUAUCUGACCCUCCUUCUGUGGUGUGCAUGUGUGUGUUCACUUGGCAGGGAAGGGGCAUAGAUCAUCCCCCAGCAAUACCAGUCAAUGGCAAAUUGGAGAGACAACGAAUGAUAUAAAUGAAAGCCAGAGAAACCAAGAUAAUUCUGAUGUGCUAUUAUGAUCAUACUGAUUUUAUGAUGAUAAAACCACAGAACUAGAAAGGACUGUGGGAGAGUAUCUGACCUAGUCUUCUGCCUUUAAGAAAAGUUAGUCUUUCUUAAUGAGGUAUGUGACAAAAGACCAGGCAUUCCUCCUCAAUAAUCCAUUCCAGUCUUUUUUUCACUCUGGCAGUCUGGAAAUUCUUCUUUAUGUCUAAUAGAAAUCUCUCCUACUUUAAUCCCAUUUUCUCUUAUUUGAUCUUCUGUGCCAUAGACAAACCAAAAACCCUUUACACUCUUUAAGACAUAGUAAAGGAUCAUUUAUUAGGGCAUUUGAACGUUGAGAAUAUUCAAACUACAGAACUGUGAUGAUGAUUCCUUCUGCCAGUGUUGGCUCAGUGGCCCAGAUCACUUAGUGCAGUCAGGGUGGUGCAGGGUAUAAUGGACAAAUAAAAAAAUAACCUUGUCAGUGGCUAUUUCAGGUGAAAGAACACCACACAUUUUAUGAAAUAAAGGUCAUUUACUACUGAGUAGAAAAAACUAUUGUGGUACAGUCCAGAUAGACAUUUGAAAAGGAAAAGGGCUGCAAAAGCAAGUAGACAUUGAUGAAUGUGUUCAAGUGAGAGUAGCAUUCACGUCUCCUUUAGUUUUGCUGGAAGCAAUUUCAACAAAUCCUGUUAGCAAUUUUCUCACACUUCUUUCUUCAGACAAUCAAGAAUCUCACAAUAAGUAAAUAUGGUUUGCUUUUUUACUAUUGUAUAUGGCUUUUGGAGGAUUAUUUUAAGGAAAUAUGCAUCACAAAUUCUACCUUUUGUAGUGUAAGAAUUGGAAAGCAUAACCUAUCUGUUGUUUUUAAGAUCAUUUAAUAUUUGAAGUUUCUUAUAAUGUAUUACAUUUUUUUUUAUAACGUGUUACAUUUUUGUUGUUGCUUUCAGGUAAGCCCAGAUAUCUUUACUUGAUGCAAAACGAUGACAAAUCCUGAAUCCGUUCUUUAUUUGAUGUAGCUUUAUUAGAUAAAAUGUUUCCUAGCCAUACAAAACUUUUGAAUUUAUAUACUUAUUUAUUUUGAUCAUUAAACACGUCCCAUUUUAGAUUCCAUUGUGUAUUUAUCAUGCUAUGCAUGGUAACAAAUUAACUCACAAAUCUCAGUGGCCUAACGUAACAGAGGUUUAUUUCUUGCUCACAUUACAUCCAACUCCUAUUUGGAUCAGUGGGGAGCUCUCUUCUACACAGUCUUUAAAUGUUAAAGAUCUUUUAUUUGAUCACAGUGUUCUUUUCAAGUUCAGAAUGAUCUUCUCAUUAAUUGCGUUACCCCUCAUUCACCUUUUCUCAGGUGAAUUCUAGUUUCCCAGGUGAUUCCAGUCCCACUUUUCUAUCUGUUAGCAUUCUUAGGUAUAGACAAAAGAAUCAACUCUAGAUCAUUUAAAUGAGAAGGGACUUAUUAAGGGAAAUCCGAAAAUCCAAGUAAUCAUUGGAAAGACUGGAGGAACAGGUGCCAGGCCGAGCUACCACCUAGAAUCUAACUGUCUUUGUUGCAAUGGGGAAGCUACUGCUCCCACUGUUGCACCCCGAACAAUGACAUUGAAGUCGCCUGUGCUGGCAGAAUGGUUAUCUGGACACUAUCUGUUCUUCAGGUAGUUCUGAUAUGUGCAAUGGAGAGCCAGAAAACUAAGUUCUAGAAAUUCACCCUAGACUCAGAGGCAAGGGAGAUUAGGAAGUGUUUAAUUUAAUUUUUUAAAGUUUAUUUAUUUAUUUUGAGAGAGAGAGAAUGGGGGGAGAGGGAGACAGAGGAACCGUGCACGCACACGCACAUGCGAGUGGGAAAGGAGCAGAGAGAGUAAGGUAGAUUCCCAAGUAGGAUCGUGCUGUCAAGCACAGAGCCCUAUGCGGGCUCAAUCCCAUGAACCUGAGAUCACGAUGUGAGCAGAGAUCAAGAGUCGGAAGCUUAACCAACUGAAUCACCCAGGUGCCCCAGGAAAUGUUUAAUUUUAGAAUUUACUUUGGGAAGACAGAAGUCACAUGUGGGAAGCUAUCAAAAUGUGGGGUGGUUUCAAAAAAUUUAGGACUGCUACAAGUACCAGAUGUUUACUAUACUUUCUUUUAUAGAACUCCUUUUCUGUGCACUUGUAAAUUUCUUUUUUUGUUAUAGAGGUAAUAUAACUAGGAAUAAGAAAGAAGUACUCAUAUUGCCACCACCCUAACACAUCUACUGUUGUUAUUUUGGUAUAUUUCCUUUUUGUCCCUUUUCAUUGCAGAAUUGUCUUCUAUAAAAUUGCGUCACAGUGAAUACUGAUUUCCUAGUGAAAUAUUAAAACACAAACAUUUCUCCUCAUGUUGCCACAUUAUCUUCAAAAUCAUGAAUGUUAGAGGCUGCUCAGUAUUGCAACAGUUGGAAUGGCUCCACUAUGUGAAUUUACUAUGUAAAUAUAAUAUUGUGACACAAGUCAGUAGGUAUAACUUUUCUGAUUGCAGUUGUAUGCUUAGUUUUUCAUUUAUGCUGUGAUUAUAUCAACAUCUUGAUGGUUUCUUAUUUUCCUGUUUUCAUCAAGAUGUGUGACCUCACAGAGAUAUAGUUCAAGACUCAGUGUAGAUAGGAAAAGAAAUGUAAAAUUUUUCAGGCAACUGUUUCAUUUAAGUACAGAAACAUAACGUUCACUCUUUAGAAUAAGGUGCUUUUAGUAUGUAUCAUCCAUGCUGGCAGCCAGUCUUCCUUUAUAAAAUGCCAGAUAAUUUUUUAAAAUUCCAGAUAACUGUUCCAUUAUUCAUUUGCUUAUGUCAUCAUAAACUUAGUAUAAUUUGUCACCAUUAUAUACAACAAAAUCCAAUUUUGUUGAACUAUACUUCCCAAAAGAAAAAGUCACACACACACUAUAGCCAUAAGAAAAAUCCAUUAAUUCAUUUGAAAUAUAUGUAUUGUGCACUCACUAUUCCAAAGAAUUCUGCUAACUCCUGUGUGAACAAAACGAUAACAUAUGAUUUCUGCCAAGGGGACAUGUAAAGUCUCUGAUCAGAAAACUUUUUUUUUUUUUUAAUUUUUUUUUUCAACGUUUAUUUAUUUUUGGGACAGAGAGAGACAGAGCAUGAACGGGGGAGGGGCAGAGAGAGAGGGAGACACAGAAUCGGAAACAGGCUCCAGGCUCUGAGCCAUCAGCCCAGAGCCCGACGCGGGGCUCGAACUCCCGGACCGCGAGAUCGUGACCUGGCUGAAGUCGGACGCUUAACCGACUGCGCCACCCAGGCGCCCCAGAAAACUUUUUUUUUUAAGCAGCAAUAUGUUUUUUAAGUUUUAUUUAAAGGCACUAAAAGAACAUUAGAUUGGUAGAGUUUUCACAAGUCUAGCACUGUGUGACUUUGAACAUGCCCAAACUCUCUGGGCCUUGGUUUCCUCAUCUGUGAAGAAAAGUUGUUAAGCUCAGAUUUCCUAUCUGUAAGAUCCUGAAAAUAAUGAAAUAUUCCACAGGCUGUCAGUGGUUCUCUAUCAAAAAAAUAAUAAUAAACAUAUAUGUACUUACUAUAUGUGUGUAUGUUUAUACACACACAUACAGACACACACACAAAAAUGAUACUGCGUUGAGAAAACUGACAAAAUGGGGAUCCCAUGUAAAAUUCACGAGGUACUAAUCUAGAAUCUAUCAUGAGAAGAACAACUGUGCCUAAGAGUUCUUGAUAGCACUUGCAGUGAUAGAAGUCUUGAUCUGCUUCUAAAUGCCAAUCAACUGCUGGGCAAGAUUGUCUCAAAUGGGAUCAUUUAGGCUCAUGUAGGUACAGCAUGCAGUUAAAAGAGAACAGUUACUAUUUUUAACUGACUAAUGGACAGCCAGGCUCUGAAUAGGUUACUUUUCAAACGUAAUCUUAUGUAAUCCUCAACAACAGCCCAAUGCCGGAGGUAUUGUUGAUUGUUUUACAGGCAUGGAAAUUGAGCCUCAGGAGGUUAAGUAUUUUGUCCAAAGCCAUGAAGCCAGCAAGCAAGCAGCAGAGCCAGUUUCCUAACUUGGGUCUGUCUGACUCCAAAGUCCACACUCCUUCAAUCCCAACCUAUUUUUGCAUAGCUCUCUAACUGGAAUUAAUUAAUAUUGAUAUUCCUGUUAUAACAGUUCUUGUGAAGUUAUCAAAACUAAUAAUGAUGUGGUCAAAAAGAGCAAAGUCACUUAGAGAAUAGAGGUGAUUUUCCAAAUAAAGUUUAAAAUAUAAUAUUAACUAAAAUGUAGUCAUUUUACACUUACACUUACACACACACACACACACACACACACACACACACACAUGCAUAUACACUGGCAUUAGUGGAAGGCAUCAAUAUUUAGGGCAUAAAUAAUUCCCUUUAUAUUCUGUUUUUCCCAUGUAGCUUUUUGAAAUGAGGUAAAGAAGAGUUUGCUCCCCCCUGAAUCCCUAGCGGCUUAUGAACAUUUGAAUCACUUUCUUUCUGGGUCUCAAUCAUUCUCAAGUGAACCCCAAAGUAGUUUCCUUUUUUCUCUAUGCUUCUUUGGAAGGAUCCUCAUUUGUAAUCAUUAUUAUUAGCAUGCAACUAGCACAUCAGACUUGCAAGGCCUUUUAUAAUUAUUGUCAAAUACAUUUUUCUAGUCUGGGAGACCAACAUUUUACAGAAACGCAAAAUAAGAUGUAGAUACAUUAAUUACCUUGGCCAGAGUGACACAGUGACUUUCUGCAGACACAGCCAAGGGAGAGCUGAAGCAGUCUUCGAUUUUAGGACAGAAACUCUGCUCCUUGGAUGAUAACAUUUAACAGUUGCACUCAUCCCAUGAUUGCAGAAAACCCACUUCACAAACAAAUCAGUGAUAGAAGUGCCUUAAAAAAAAACAAAAACAAAAACAAAAACACCCUAGAGUUCCAAUUUAUUACCCAGAAUCGACUCACCUUAUUUUCCAGUUACUCUUCAAGUAUUUGUCCUUGAGUUAAUUGAUAAAAAGCUGCCUUAGAUCUUCAUCCUUAUCUUUAAUUUGUGCACUGAUUUAAAAAAAUUUUUUUAAUGUUUAUUUAUUUGGGAGAGAGAGACAGAAUGUGAGUGGGGGAGGAGCAGAGAGAAAGGGAGACACAGAAUCCAAAGCAGGCUCCAGGCUCUGAGUUGUCAGCACAGAGCCCGACGAGGGGCUCAAACUCACAGACCAGGGGCUCGAACUCACAGACCAGGAGAUCAGGACCCGAGCCGAAGUCGGACACUUAACAGACUGAGCCACCCAGGCGCCCCAUAAUUUGUGCACUGAUUUUAAAAUAAGAGACACAAUGCUAUUUUAUGUACAAUAGACUUCCUAGCUACUAUUUUGGUUUGCUCUCUCAAAUUCUUGUGUUAACAUAAGACUUGAUGCUAAAUAAAUGUGAGAGAAAAGUUGCUGCUGGCCCCAGAAACAGAAGUCCUCCUGUAUUUGACUUCUAGCCAGACCCACCUGAACAUGGCCCCUGUUUUUAAAUCAAUAUUUUAAAAUUCACUUUAUUGCUCACUCUUGGCCAGAGGAGCUUCCAUCUUUUAACCUUUCUGAUGACUAAGCUGAAAAUGUCUUUGAUUUGGAUGAAAAAUAAUACAGUUAAGAGAAGGUAGUGAAUCUUUGCUGUGUGGCUAAUAAAUAAGACCAUGGCAUUUUAUAUUUGAUUUCAUGAGGCUUUGAAUUUGUAGUUAAGAAGCAGACUCUCCAGCAUAUUAUAAAUGAAAUGCCAACUUUAUUUAAAAUUUCAUAUUAGGUCAUAUGACAAUUUGACAAUAAUUUUGAUAGCUACAAAAGAAAUGAGCACCAACAGAGUUUAUUUAAGAAGCUGUGUCAUCCUGUUCAUUUAGGAGCAGAAAAAUAAAACUCCAGGAACAGAAGCACUAGUUUGUUUUAUUAGGUAGAAUCUGAGCAAUAAUCUUUAGGUUGAUUUAUUGGUAAUUUUACAGAUGAGAUAUUUGCUAAUUUCUCUGAAGUAUAAUUUGGAAGACAGAGAAUUUCAUUACUUGACAAAUAUUGGCAGUCUUCCUUGCAGAUGAUUUUUCUCUGAACUGUCUGCUAAGAAUGUUUUCUUAAUUAUGAUGCUAUUUUACAACUAGUUUUAUUUAAUCUUUUGAAUUAAAUUACGUCUUUGAAAAUAUUUAUGGAAGGUCAGAUUUUUUGGGAAAUCUGGAAUCAGUGAAAAUAAAUUUAUGCAGCUGAGAAACUUAACAUGUAUAUCUAAAGUGUAAACACAAAUUCAAACAUUUCUGUUUGAUGGCUCUAGUGUGAUGCACUUUAGUCUUUAUAGAGCAAGGAAAAAUUGAAUUAAUAAAAUGUUGUUUCUGUCACCAGAUUAUCUAAUUGACUCAUUUCUUGGCACAGGGAGUGAGGCAGUCCAUAUGCAGUAGUCAUUGGAUUGGGAUCCAGAAUUACUGGGUGUAUCAGAUCCUCACCAAGCUAAUGUUGUAAUUUAUAGACUUAGGUGGCUGGUAAAGGAUAUUUUAUCAAGUAACUACAAAAUACUUUGAAGGUUGCAAGUCCUGAACGUUAUUAGAUCAUAAUAUAUAGAGUAGAUAGAUGUUAAAAAACUGCUCACUCAUUACUGUCAUGUUUGAAUGGAUUUCCUAGGAUUGAGAAACUUACUUAGCUAAAUAUAGAGCCCAGUUGCUAGUGUUUGGAGGAAAACUGCUAUACUAGACUCCCUGAGCAAUAAUAUGUCAGUCUCUAAUGUAGCAUGGAUAUAGAAUUACAUGCUCUACUUGACUUAUUUUGGUUCUUUCAAACUGGUCCCCUGGAGAUUUCAUAAUUUUAACUUUGAAUUAUUUAUUUUCAUAUUUCUUUUGGUCCCAUCCAAUCCUUGUGGUCAGGGAGAUAUUUGCUUGAAUCCAAUCAGAGAAACAUAAAUGGGUCCACUACAUAUUGGUCUAUGACUCUUUUAUUACCAAUGCUCUGAUUAUUGUGUCACUGACUACUGGGGGCUCCAGUUUGGGACUGACUUGGUUGUAUGAAUUUGACGGUCUUCCCAACUGGUAACGGUCCUGGGAAUGACUUUUCCUUCCUAAAUCACCCAUUACAGAAAUACCUUCAUUAAAAGUACUUCUGAGAAUCUCCAAAGUAAAACAAACAAAAAGUCUCAAAAUCCAGAAUAUUAGCAGACACAUAAAAUUACAUGAUUAUUAAAGCCUCUUCUUGUCCAAAUUCUACAAUUUAAAGGGGGGAAAAAAAGCUCUCCCAGCAAUUUCUACUUAUCCCACCCAGUGGAUGUUACCCGGAGUUGACCUGCGACUGUGUUGCAAUUUCUUCAUUGUUCCAGGGGGAUGUGGUUGCUUGGGAGAGACCUGGGACACUGAGGUGGGAACAAGGCUGUCCACAAAGACAGACUACAGGAGAGGCCAGGUGCCAGAAGCUGUUUUAUUUCUAGGUAAUAGAAAGUGACAGAGCCUAGGUGAGGGUGAGGCAGUGAGUACGUGGGAUGCAAAAUUUAAGAAGGUGCCUGCUCUCAGGGGCAGCCAGAGAGUGAAUGCCUCCUUGAAUUUGGUACCCAAGGAAUCUGGCCCUGGAAAAAGGUCUUAACAAGGUCUGUGUCAAGCAGAAAACCAGCCACAAACCUGGGAAUCUUGAAGCCGGGAGUGUAAGUUGGAGAAGCCAAUCUAAUCAAAAGGAGAGCUAGACAGAGAAAUUCUCUGUAUUCUAUUGUGUCCUAUCUCUAAUCUCAGGUACAAAAAUCCAGGAGUUUCACAGGAAUUGUAAAAUCUCUCCCUGCUAAUUCCUUGUUCUCCCAGGAGCACCCACAAAGAGGAAGGGACAAUUCCAGGAGUCAGAAUGGCGACUGCAGAAAAGAAAUAGGUGUGAAACGGAGGGGGGAAAAAAAGGCCAGGUCAAAAUGAAUUAUGCAUGCAAAGACUUAGUCAUGGUGUUCCUCCUAGGCCAACAAUCCCUCUGCUGAGCUAGGCAUGGGUCUUUGAUGGAGGCAUCUUGCCAGGUGGCUUUAAAGCUGCUGGUUGUGCUUUGAGGGAUGCUUUCACUCUCUUGGUAGUUACUGUUCUCUUUUGCACAGAGUCCAGGGUAGCUAGACCUAUGUUUUUAUUUCACAAAACUGAACUUAACUUGUAACUCAACUUAAAUUUCUAUUUCAAGAAUCCAUUCUGUUUGAUAGCAGAAAUAUAGUUCAGUAGACUGCAGAUAAGCGUAUUUCUGGUUUCUUUCAUCAUUUCUGGUAGACUCCAUGAAUUUAGAAUUUUGUCCUUUCCCUUCUCUCUCCCCAGAGUGGCAUCUAAGUUCUAGGGACAUAGGGUGAAAUGUUGGGUUCUUGGACGCUAAUGGCCCUCCAGGCUGCCAUUCAUGGCUAUGUCUAUGACAUUACUAUCAUCUUUGGUCCUGGAAACCUGUAGCUCCCUGACUGUGAUGACUCUCCCAGAGCCAUGUCUUCAUCCUUCUUAGGGAUUGGAAAAUUGUUGGAUGUGCCAUUCUGGAGACUAUGGGCACCGUGGAAGACUUGUCAGGGGGGAGGAGGGGCUGUAUUAGACACAUCUGGAUGCCACUUCUACCUUUUUCUGUUUACCAUGUCAACACCUGAGAAGUGAGCACAGGUCCCUCUGCUCUCAGAUUCCCAACAUUUGCCUGGGAAUUCUAUCAGUCAUCAUGACUCCUUCUCAACCCCUUCUCUUGGGACAUCAGCCAUCUCUUGGGACCACUCUCUCUUGCUCUCUUAUUUGACUUCUCUCUUCAGCUUAGAGAAUUACCUGACACUACAUUGUCCAAUAUGAUAGCCACUAGUCACAUGUGGUUGCUAAGCUCUUGAAAUGUGGCUAGUCCAAAAUGAGAUGUACUGAAGCGAAUUUCAAAUACUUAGUAUGAAGAAAAGAUCAUAAAAUAUCUCAUUAUAGUUUAUACAUUGAAAUGAUAUUUUGGAUAUGCUGAAAUAGACAAGAGAGUGUUAUAAUUAAUAUUACUUGUUUCUGUUUACUUUUUGAAAAAAUGUGGCUACUAGAAAUUUUUAAUUACAUGAUAUUUGUUUUGAACAGAGCUCAUGUAAAAAGUUUGAGGAAGUGUUAUGGACUAAAUUGUAUGCUGCCUUUCCCCUCUCCCCAGUUUAUCUGUUGAAGUCCUAAUCCCCGAUGUGACUGUAUCUGGAGAUAGAACCUUAAGGGAGGUAAUUAAUGUUUAAUAAGGUCAUGAUGGUGGGGCCCUAAUCCAGUAGGAUUGGUGCCCGUAUUAGAACAGGAAGAGGCACCAGGAAAGCACAAAUAGAAAAAAGACCAUGUGAGGACACACUGAGAAGGCAUCAGUCUGUAAACCAGGAAGAGAGAACUCAUCAGAAACCAACCCUGCCAGGCACCUUGAUUUCGAAUGUCCAGCUUCCAGAACCAUGGGUAAAUAGAUUUCUGUUGUUUAAGCCACCCAAUCCAUGGAAUUCUGUUAUGUUGUUUAAGCCACCCAAUCCAUGGUAUUCUAUUAGUCAGCCUCAGCAGACUAAUACAGCGAGAAAAACUCAUUCCGAUAUCAUGUAUCCUUCCAAAAUUAAAUGGUUACAGCAUUAAUUUUAGCUUUAGAUCCUCAAAACCCUUUCUCACAGCCAAUUGGUUAUGCCAAGAAUUUUUAAAAUCUAGUUUGAAACUCAAAAGCUGAGAGAAAUGGACUCUUUAGUUCUGUGUUGUCUGUUUGUGACCUUUCUUCCCCCAAGGCCAUAGAAACAGCUAAUCUCUGCUGCCUGAAGUUGAGGAAAAGGUCACAUAGCAAAAGGGAAAUAUAGAAAAUGAAAUAUACAUUGGUUAAUAUCAAAAUAUCAAUCUGCUAUAGCAGUUACUUUUUUUUCCUUUCAAUCACAACUCGGGAGGAUCUGAUUUCAUUUAUUUGGUCUCUCAUUAAUUUGCUCUGUACUUAUUGCCUACAGUUUAUGUAUUUUUUAGUAUGAAUAGCUUUCAGAUAGCAUUUGCAUUAAAAAUUUCAAAUCUUCAAUAAUGAAAGAUAUUUUCUGUUAAAGGAAUUGAAAGUAUCAUAGAAGCUGCAUGGUAGUGGUGGAGAGAGGUGGUUAAAGGACUAAAAUCCUGCUGUCCAUCUCAUUAGAGCUCAUUUUGUUAGCUAUGGAGGAGACCUUGUUACCCAUCCCCAGAACAGAUCCUGAAGUCCAAUGAUUCCUGACAUAACACAUACAACACACACAGGGCUGUGGUGGUCCCUGGGGGAAUCAGAAAGCCAAGUCUUGCACUUGGAUGGACAUGGCUGGCUUCUUCCAUCCUUUGUACUUUUCUGAUUCACCAGGCUUAAGUAGGCCUUACUGCUCAUCUCACUGCACUAUAAAUGUCUGCUUGCUUCUCUGUGAACCUUCAGAAAGCAGGAAAUCAUAGGUUUCAUUUCUGAAUAUUCCUUACCCAAUGCCUACCAUAUGAUAGGUGUAUAAUAAAAGUUUUGGAAAUGAAACAAAAUGAAUGCAUGAAUCCUACAAGUUCUGCCCACAGAUCCUCACUUCAGGCCAUCUCCUACCUCUUUUCUCUGCUGGCCUGGACACAGGUCAGGCAUUCUCCUCCAGCUCCUUUCACCUUAACCAACCUCUCCUCUUCUUUAUAAAAGUAAAUUCUUUUAAAAACUUGUUUCAUUACCCAAGAACUAUAUGACGAUAUUCUCAGUAUAAAAUAAUAAAAUAAUACAAAUAAAAUUAUUUAUUUAUUUUAAAGUUUAUUUUUUUUAUUUUGAGAGAGAGAGAGAGAGAGAUCACAGAUCACGAGCAGGUAGGGGAAGAGAGAGAGGAAGAGAGAGAAUCCCAAGCAGACUCCAUGUUGUUGGCACAGAGCCCAAUGCAGGGCUCAAUUUCAUGAAACAUGAGAUCAUGACCUGAGCCAAAAUAAAGAGUUGGAUGCUUAACUGAUUGAGCCACCCAGGUACCCCUUAUUUAUUUUUAAUACAAAGAAAAUUUAAAUGCCCAUCACCACUCCAUAGCAAUUCUACCGUCUAUUGUUUAGUACUGUGGGAACAGCCUUCUAAAACUUUUCCCAUGCAUUUUUAUAUAUGCAAUGUAUUAUCUACUAAAAUAGAUAUAUAUGUGUGAGUAUAUUAAUAUGUGAAUGCUAAUGUAUAUUAAAUAUUAAUAUAUGUUUAGCCUAAAUGAUUGUAUACUAUUUUGCAACUUACUUUUUCAUCCCCACUUAAUAAGUUGAUAUCCUUUUAUGUGAGUGUACAUUCAUCCUCCUCAUUCUUUUUUUAGUUGCUGUAAAAUAUUCUAUAGUGCAAGCCAAAAUGCAUUUAAAAUUUAUUUUUUUAUUUUUAUUUUUUAUUUUUCACUGCCAGAAACAAUGAAGCAAUGAACAUUGACCUGUAUAGCUGCUUCUUUGGACACAUGUGCAAAUGUUUUUUCUGAUAAAUUCUUAGAGGACGACUUGCUGAGUUAAAGAUACAUGCAGGUGCGAGGGACAUUCCUGGGGAAGAGCCUUUCUUGGCCAUUUACCACAGUGUUUCCUUACUUAAACACCAAAUGGACUUACUAAACUGUACUAGGGCAGAUGGCACAGCAAGACUUAGUCUGUUCCAGUCCAAAGAGAUAAUUAUGUAAAUUACACGACCAUAGACAUUAUAUGAUAUCCUCUAACAUCCCUUUGACAUACCACGGCAAUCUUCCUCCACUGCAUAGCAGUAUGGGAAGUGCCCUUCUAAGUCCUUUCCCAUACAUUUACUUCCUGUCUUAAGGAUCUUUGCAUGCCUGCUACUUUGUAAUACCUCUGCUAACGAAUAGAGGAAGCUGCCUUCAGUACUCCAAAUGAGGAAAGAAAAGCUGUUACUGGAUUCCAUUCCUGUCUAUCAUCUUGUUCAAAAGGAGGGGAGUGAGUCAGAUCAAGAGAAUGAGUCACCAAGUCAUAGCCAAGGUGAUAAACCUCAAGACUUGCAUCUAUCUGCUCCAUGGUCAAAGAGGAAAACCUUACCAUCUCAGUGGUGAGAAACCAGAGUGUGUACUAUCUGAACAUGUAAU
Molecule: long non-coding RNA, 14623 nt
Filed under: Lynx pardinus (Iberian lynx)
Lineage: Eukaryota; Metazoa; Chordata; Mammalia; Carnivora; Felidae
Source: RNAcentral